GGAAUCUUGCACAAUGGAGGAAACUCUGAUGCAGCGAUGCCGCGCGAGUGAAGAAGGCCUUUGGGUUGUAAAGCUCUUUUGUAGGGGAAGAUAAUGACUGUACCCUAAGAAUAAGGUCCGGCUAACUUCGUGCCAGCAGCCGCGGUAAUACGAAGGGACCUAGCGUAGUUCGGAAUUACUGGGCGUAAAGCGCGCGUAGGCCGUUGAGUUAGUUAAUUGUGAAAUCCCAAAGCUUAACUUUGGAACUGCAAUUAAAACUGCUCGACUAGAGUUUGAUAGAGGAAAGCGGAAUACAUAGUGUAGAGGUGAAAUUCGUAGAUAUUAUGUAGAACACCAGUUGCGAAGGCGGCUUUCUGGAUCAACACUGACGCUGAGGCGCGAAAGUAUGGGUAGCAAAGAGGAUUAGAUACCCUCGUAGUCCAUACCAUAAACGAUGAUUGCUAGAUGUUGGAAAUUUAUUUUCAGUAUCGCAGCUAACGCAUUAAGCAAUCCGCCUGGGGAGUACGACCGCAAGGUUAAAACUCAAAUGAAUUGACGG
RNAcentral lists this ribosomal RNA (538 nucleotides) under uncultured bacterium. RNAcentral describes it as "bacterial SSU rRNA". It matches the Rfam family "Bacterial small subunit ribosomal RNA", at positions 358 to 916 of the family's 1533-position model. The record is from RNAcentral.